This 768-nucleotide long non-coding RNA is filed under the name Mytilus galloprovincialis (Mediterranean mussel). Lineage: Eukaryota; Metazoa; Mollusca; Bivalvia; Mytilida; Mytilidae. The record is from RNAcentral.
CAGAUCCCCACCCCUAAACCAUAUAUAUUCUUGUAGGGGACAAUAAAACAAAUCAAAUGAAAUAAAAGGGAAGUCCCUAGGGGGUCACCCCACCCCCUCUAGGUUGACAACUUGUAAACGGUCCAGAUCCCCACCCCUAAACCAUAUAUAUUCUUGUAGGGGACAAUAAAACAAAUCAAAUGAAAUAAAAGGGAAGUCCAUAGGGGGUCACCCCACCCCCUCUAGGUUGAAAACUUGUAAACGGUCCAGAUCCCCACCCCUAAACCAUAUAUAUUCUUGUAGGGGACAAUAAAACAAAUCAAAUGAAAUAAAAGGGAAGUCCAUAGGGGGUCACCCCACCCCCUCUUGUUUGAAAACUUGAAAACGGUCCAGAUCCCCACCCCUAAACCAUAUAUAUUCUUGUAUGGGACAAUAAAACAAAUCACAUGAAAUUAGAUGGAAGUUCCUGGGGUCACCCCCACCCUGUUCAAUUUGAGAAUGUACUUUUAUCUUGUAAACGGUCCAGAUCCCCACCCCUAAACCAUAUAUUAUCUUGUAGGGGACAAUAAAACAAAUCAAAUGAAAUGUAGGUAAAGUCCCCGGGGGUCACCACCACCCCCUUCUGUUUGAAAACUUGUAAAUGGUUGAGAUCCCUACUCGUAAGCCAUAUAUAUUCUUGUAUGGGACAAAAAAUCAAAUCAAAUGAACAUGGGACCAUAUGAAUGGGGAGUUAUCGGAGCUUUGUUUGGGAGACUUCGUAACAGCAUCCUGUUACAAUUACUUCUUGUU